CACGUAGGGGACGAGCGUUGUCCGGAUUCAUUGGGCGUAAAGCGCGCGUAGGCGGCUCGGAAAGUCGGUCGUGAAAUGCCGGGGCUCAACCCCGGGACUGCGUCCGAUACUUCCGGGCUGGAGGUAGGUAGGGGAGAUCGGAAUUCCUGGUGUAGCGGUGAAAUGCGCAGAUAUCAGGAGGAACACCGGUGGCGAAGGCGGAUCCCUGGGCCUUACCUGACGCUGAGGCGCGAAAGCUAGGGGAGCGAACAGG
This 253-nucleotide ribosomal RNA is filed under the name uncultured bacterium. Its description in RNAcentral is "partial 16S ribosomal RNA". It matches the Rfam family "Bacterial small subunit ribosomal RNA", at positions 524 to 776 of the family's 1533-position model. The record is from RNAcentral.